This 180-nucleotide ribosomal RNA is filed under the name Klebsiella pneumoniae. RNAcentral describes it as "partial 23S ribosomal RNA". It matches the Rfam family "Bacterial large subunit ribosomal RNA", at positions 2763 to 2925 of the family's 2925-position model. RNAcentral also lists the same sequence under 1 other name. Lineage: Bacteria; Pseudomonadati; Pseudomonadota; Gammaproteobacteria; Enterobacterales; Enterobacteriaceae. The record is from RNAcentral.
GAUAAGUGCUGAAAGCAUCUAAGCACGAAACUUGCCCCGAGAUGAGUUCUCCCUGAGACUUUAAGUCUCCUGAAGGAACGUUGAAGACGACGACGUUGAUAGGCCGGGUGUGUAAGCGCAGCGAUGCGUUGAGCUAACCGGUACUAAUGAACCGUGAGGCUUAACCUUACAACGCCGAAG